UGCUCCUAGUACGAGAGGACCAGAGUGGACGAACCUCUGGUGUACCGGUUGUGACGCCAGUCGCAUCGCCGGGUAGCUAUGUUCGGAAGGGAUAACCGCUGAAAGCAUCUAAGCGGGAAGCCUACCUCAAGAUAAGAUUUCCCUAGGACUUUAUGUCCUCUAAAGAGCCGUUCGAGACUAGGACGUUGAUAGGUUGGAUGUGGAAGCAUAGUGAUAUGUGAAGCUGACCAAUACUAAUUGCUCGUGAGGCUUGACUAUACAACACCCAAGCAGUUG
Molecule: ribosomal RNA, 276 nt
Filed under: Acinetobacter baumannii
Lineage: Bacteria; Pseudomonadati; Pseudomonadota; Gammaproteobacteria; Moraxellales; Moraxellaceae
Description: partial 23S ribosomal RNA
Rfam family: Bacterial large subunit ribosomal RNA
Source: RNAcentral